This 1364-nucleotide ribosomal RNA is filed under the name soil metagenome. RNAcentral describes it as "bacterial LSU rRNA". It matches the Rfam family "Bacterial large subunit ribosomal RNA", at positions 1133 to 2351 of the family's 2925-position model. The record is from RNAcentral.
CGUAAUAGCUCACUGGUCGAGUGGUCCUGCGCGGACAAUGUAACGGGGCUCAAGUAAAUAGCCGAAGCUGCGGAUUUCUGUUCCGCCCAAGUAGCAAUGUUGAAAGUGGCUUGCCACGGACGACGUUGCAAUCCGCUUGGGAGUCACGGAAUGGGAGUGGUAGGGGAGCGUCGAUCUUGCAGAGAAGCGGCGGUGGAAACCGUCGUGGAGCGUGGUCGAGUGAGAAUGUUGGUAUGAGUAGCGAGAGAGGGGUGAGAAACCCCUCCGCCGUAAGCCCAAGGGUUCCUGGGGAAGGCUAAUCCUCCCAGGGUAAGUCGGGAGCUAAGGCGAGGCCGAGAGGCGUAGUCGAUGCACAACUGGUUGAUAUUCCAGUACUUCCGUGUCCGCGCCCAUUCCAAAACUGGUGUCCUAAGGGGCUGUCCUUCGGGGCGAACCGACCGACCCGGUGGAGGAAAGCGAAGGAGGGACGCAGGAGGGUAGGUGAGCCCAGGCGUUGGUUGACCUGGGGUAAGCGUGUAGGGGGAGGUCUAGGCAAAUCCGGACCUCAUGAACCCUGAGACGCGAUGCCGAGCCAUUUCAGGCGAAGUCACUAAUCCCAUGCUGCCGAGAAAAGCUUCUAGCGAGCUGGCACGGAACCCGUACCCCAAACCGACACAGGUGGGCGGGUAGAGAAUACCAAGGCGAUCGGGAGAACUGUGGUUAAGGAACUCGGCAAAAUACCUCCGUAACUUCGGGAGAAGGAGGACCCCACUAGGGUGAUGAACUUCGCGUUCUGAGCCUGAAGGGGUCGCAGAGAAUAGGGGAAAGCGACUGUUUACUAAAAACACAGGAGCGUGCGAAGUCGUAAGACGAUGUAUACGCUCUGACGCCUGCCCGGUGCCGGAAGGUUACGGGGAAGGGUUAGCCCUCGGGCGAAGCUCUGAACCUAAGCCCCGGUAAACGGCGGCCGUAACUAUAACGGUCCUAAGGUAGCGAAAUUCCUUGUCGGGUAAGUUCCGACCUGCACGAAUGGCGUAACGACUUUCCUACUGUCUCAACCACAGACCCGGCGAAAUUGAAGUACGAGUAAAGAUGCUCGUUAGCUGCAUCAGGACGGAAAGACCCCGUGGACCUUUACUACAGCUUGAUGUUGAGUUUUAGUACAUAUUGUGUAGGAUAGGUGGGAGACUUUGAAGCAUUGGCGCUAGCCAGUGUGGAGUCAACCUUGAAAUACCACCCUUUAUGUGCCGGAACCCUAACCUCGGUCCGUUAUCCGGAUCAGGGACAGCGUCAGGUGGGUAGUUUGACUGGGGCGGUCGCCUCCUAAAACGUAACGGAGGCGCCCAAAGGUUCCCUCAGGCUGGUUGGCAAUCAGCCGUCGAGUG